UACAGAGGGUGCGAGCGUUGUCCGGAAUCACUGGGCGUAAAGGGCGCGUAGGCGGCGCGGUAAGCGUGCGGUGAAAGCCCGGGGCUCAACCCCGGGUCGGCCGUGCGGACUGCCGGGCUGGAGCACUGUAGAGGCAGGUGGAAUUCCGGGUGUAGCAGUGGAAUGCGUAGAGAUCCGGAAGAACACCGGUGGCGAAGGCGGCCUGCUGGGCAGUAGCUGACGCUGAAGCGCGACAGCGUGGGGAGCAAACAGG
RNAcentral lists this ribosomal RNA (253 nucleotides) under uncultured bacterium. RNAcentral's name for it is "partial 16S ribosomal RNA". It matches the Rfam family "Bacterial small subunit ribosomal RNA", at positions 524 to 776 of the family's 1533-position model. The record is from RNAcentral.